GAUUCCCCUAGUAACUGCGAGUGAAGCGGGAAAAGCUCAAAUUUAAAAUCUGGCGGUCUUUGGCCGUCCGAGUUGUAAUCUAGAGAAGUGUUACCCGCGUCGGACCGUGUACAAGUCUCCUGGAAUGGAGCGUCAUAGAGGGUGAGAAUCCCGUCUUUGACACGGACUACCGAGGCAUUGUGGUGCGCUCUCAAAGAGUCGAGUUGUUUGGGAAUGCAGCUCAAAAUGGGUGGUAAAUUCCAUCUAAAGCUAAAUAUUGGCGAGAGACCGAUAGCGAACAAGUACCGUGAGGGAAAGAUGAAAAGAACUUUGGAAAGAGAGUUAAACAGUACGUGAAAUUGCUGAAAGGGAAACGCUUGAAGUCAGUCGCGUUGGCCGGAAAUCAACCUUGCUUCUGCUUGGUGUACUUUCUGGUCGACGGGCCAGCAUCAGUUUUGACCGAUGGAAAAAGUCCAAGGGAAUGUGGCAUCUCAGGAUGUGUUAUAGCCCUUGGUCGUAUACAUCGGUUGGGACUGAGGAAUUCAGCACGCCGCAAGGCCGGGGUUCGCCCACGUUCGUGCUUAGGAUGCUGGCAUAAUGGCUUUAAUCGACCCGUCUUGAAACACGGACCAAGGAGUCUAACAUGCCUGCGAGUGUUUGGGUGGAAAACCCGAGCGCGUAAUGAAAGUGAAAGUUGGGAUCCUUGUCAUGGGGAGCACCGACGCCCGGACCAGAAGUUUACGGACGGAUCCGCGGUAAAGCAUGUAUGUUGGGACCCGAAAGAUGGUGAACUAUGCCUGAAUAGGGUGAAGCCAGAGGAAACUCUGGUGGAGGCUCGUAGC
RNAcentral lists this ribosomal RNA (821 nucleotides) under Coprinopsis radiata. Its description in RNAcentral is "eukaryotic LSU rRNA". It matches the Rfam family "Eukaryotic large subunit ribosomal RNA", at positions 73 to 881 of the family's 3401-position model. Lineage: Eukaryota; Fungi; Basidiomycota; Agaricomycetes; Agaricales; Psathyrellaceae. The record is from RNAcentral.